AUUGAACGCUGGCGGCAGGCCUAACACAUGCAAGUCGAACGGUAACAGGAAGCAGCUUGCUGCUUUGCUGACGAGUGGCGGACGGGUGAGUAAUGUCUGGGAAACUGCCUGAUGGAGGGGGAUAACUACUGGAAACGGUAGCUAAUACCGCAUAACGUCGCAAGACCAAAGAGGGGGACCUUAGGGCCUCUUGCCAUCGGAUGUGCCCAGAUGGGAUUAGCUAGUAGGUGGGGUAACGGCUCACCUAGGCGACGAUCCCUAGCUGGUCUGAGAGGAUGACCAGCCACACUGGAACUGAGACACGGUCCAGACUCCUACGGGAGGCAGCAGUGGGGAAUAUUGCACAAUGGGCGCAAGCCUGAUGCAGCCACGCCGCGUGUAUGAAGAAGGCCUUCGGGUUGUAAAGUACUUUCAGCGGGGAGGAAGGGAGUAAAGUUAAUACCUUUGCUCAUUGACGUUACCCGCAGAAGAAGCACCGGCUAACUCCGUG
Molecule: ribosomal RNA, 490 nt
Filed under: uncultured bacterium
Lineage: Bacteria
Description: partial 16S ribosomal RNA
Rfam family: Bacterial small subunit ribosomal RNA
Source: RNAcentral